Molecule: long non-coding RNA, 383 nt
Organism: Dunckerocampus dactyliophorus (ringed pipefish)
Lineage: Eukaryota; Metazoa; Chordata; Actinopteri; Syngnathiformes; Syngnathidae
Exons: 3
Source: RefSeq, a predicted model, not a curated record
GGCUGAUGACAAACCCCCUGAUGUCUUCAUUCAAUAUGUAGGGCCACGGUUCCAAAAGGGCAUUCCAACCGACAGAACUUUACGCCAUUGUGACAGCUGCUGUCAAAGGUGGGACAGCAAAGCCACGUACAGACCAUGAAAUUUCACGUACUAUGGCAGACCAUUUCAAACAUGCUCCUGGGCGGUCUGGUGGUGGAGGCUAUCUUAAAAAAUAAAACAGUGCAGCAUUGAUGAGGAAACAUCAGGGAGGAACUUCGGUUGUUUGAGUUCAUCGGUCCACACUAGUUUGGCCCUGAUCAGUUGUGAUAUGAGAUGGAAACAUUUCACUACAGUCAUGACUGUAUUGAAGUCUAUUUUUUGUUUUACAUCCUUUAUAUCAUGUU